This 1008-nucleotide long non-coding RNA is filed under the name Felis catus (domestic cat). Its description in RNAcentral is "lncRNA (ENSFCAG00000050157.1)". The record is from RNAcentral. Lineage: Eukaryota; Metazoa; Chordata; Mammalia; Carnivora; Felidae.
CCGCUUCCUAGAGCCCCCUCGGUCACCCCGCCGUGGACUGCUGGGGUUGCAGAUUUGGUGGCUGUCACUGCUUCGCCUCGUUCUAUUUUUCCCCUCAAUUCCCUUCUAAAAGUAGAGGCUUGGGGGAGGGAAAAAAACCAGUGUAGAAAGGGGCGGUACGAACUGACCUGUCAACGGCGGAGGAGGAAGACCCCCGGUCGGGGCGAACUCUCGAGCCCGCGCGGGGACCGGAGCCCUGGGUUCGCGCGGAGCGGUGCGGCGGCAGCCGUGCCUCAGCCAGGUGUUCCCCCCUCGGCGGGGCCCGCGCUACCGCGCCCGCCCCCUCCCCUGGCGCGGCGCUCCCCGCCCCGUCGCCAGGGACCAGGGAACCCCCCAGCUCGAUUUUUUGUGCAGUUUCAGCAAAGCUCCGAGGAAGUUGGUCCUUUUGUUCCACUAUUUAUAGAUUGCGUCAACAUUGCGAAAAGGAGAAGGCGGAGCGGUGGCCCCUCCCCCUCCCUCCGCCGGCUCCUGGGAGAGAAAAGCCCCAGCACACGACCUAAGUACACAGCGAGCCAGCCGCCCGCCCGCCCCCGGCCUCCUGCUUGCCGCUUCCCCCUCCUCCUAGCCCGGGCCAGCGCGCUGCCAACCCCGUCACGUGCCCGCUCGGGAAAACCAGCUCCCCGGGGCUCCGCGCCGCCCGCCAGGCUCCGUGGCGGCUGCGGCCGCCUCGCUCAGCUGUGCGCCCAGCUCGUGGGUUCCGGCUGUAGCCCGAGCGUCGCGCACAGCGUGGGCACCCACAUCUUAGCCACCCGGUGGAGACCCCUGGUCCGCGGGUCGAGGGUGUGCUCACAAACGUUCGGCGCUUCCGCCCUCCACCUCCCCCACCCCUCCGCUUCGGGAGCGCCACCGCCCUGGCCGCGAAGUGUGCGCGCGUUCGGGCCUCGCCUCGGGGCCAGGAGCCUGACUUGUCCCCCGCGCGGUGGCUUCCCCAGGCAUUGGGAUGCCUCCUGGCCCCGCACGAUUGGAUGA